Molecule: non-coding RNA, 10254 nt
Organism: Aegilops tauschii subsp. strangulata
Lineage: Eukaryota; Viridiplantae; Streptophyta; Magnoliopsida; Poales; Poaceae
Source: RefSeq, a predicted model, not a curated record
UUUCUCUCAGUACUUUGCUAGACAUAUACUUAUUUAUUAAAUAUUAUAGCUUAUAAGCAAAUGCUAGAUACGCUCUGUUAUGCUUAGAAGACUAUCUAGUGACCAGCUUCUGCAAAUUUAGUAUGAUGGUAUUAAUUGCAAUGCAAGUGAUAACAAUACUGGAUACUGAAUAUAGCAGUUGUGAUGCUGUCAGUGUGAAUUUUUAAUUGAGAUGAAUUACUUAUCGAAUCUUACUUUGUAUGGCAUGACGAAGACAGAUAGGACAAACAGUCACAGAGAGGAGAGUUUUGCAACGCGCAAUCUCUGCGUCUUUUCUGUUUUCCCUUUGUUCGGAGAUAACCAGCUUACCGGACUUGUACCAAGGUAGAGGAUGACUCCAUUUGUACUCUUCCUGUCAUCUACGUCACCCCCAAGCUGCUGUCACUACAACCGAGCAGUUUCUUCACUUCUCCCAUAGAAACAGCCCAGCUUUAGUGUUCCCUUCACGCAUGAUGAGGACCGAACCUUGUGGCAAGAUCUGAUCUGUUGCGGCCUGACCUUUAACGACACACCACCUUCAGUAGCAGCAACCUCUCGCCUGCGCACACGAUGUACACGAGUAGAGGGUUUGAAGCUUGCGAUCCAGCACGAGAGAACCAAUCUCGACGAAGGAACUCACACGCAAAACAAUUUCCUCGCAGAGAAAUCGCAACACGGAGGUUUUCUAAAGCUUCCUCCAAAACUUAGGGAUUUUAGACAGCUUCCCCCAAAACUCGAUACGGGUAUUUACCCUAAAAACACAUCGUGUUUAUUCAUAAAAUAUAUCCUCCGUUUGCACCCCUUUGUCAACGACUGCCGCAGAUGCCUACAACCCCUUGUCAAUGACCGGUGUAUUCAUCAUGACCUGUGUACUAUGAAUGUUUGCGCUAGGGUAUUGCCGCAUCAUCCUCCCUUUCUUGAAAAGAAAACGUCCGUGUUUUCAAGUUGUCCUUCAAAGCUUUUUCCUUGCAUACUGUCAGCACCAUAUCUGAGCAAAUCAAUUUCUCUUCGAUUGGCUUUGUGUCCUUUGCUUCCCAUCGUGGACAAAAGUAUAUGUAUUCAUCCUUCUGGCAUGUGUUGCAUUGCGGUCGUACUGCCAUGGUUGUCCAAGCAAUAAAUCACAAACUUCCAGUGGCAAAACGUCGCACUCCACCUCAUCAAUAUAUGGUCCAACUGAAAAUGACACACGCACCUUAUGUGUAAUUUUGAGCUGUCCACAACUGUUCAACCGCUCCAAAUGAUGUGGUUCGUCGUAUCGCCACGUGGACAAACCAAGCUUUGCAACCAACGCCCUGCUAAUGCCAUUUGUGCAGCUACCUCCAUCGAUAAUCAAUUUGCAGGAAAUUCCCUUGAUAUCGCACCGAGUCUGAAACAAACUCGCUGUCCUUUGUCCACCUUAUUAUUACCAUACUGUACCCUCUUGAUUUGUAUGUUCAGCUCAGUGAGUCGUAUUGCCUCUCCCUCCUUUAUUUUAAUGGCCGCAUGUGCUUCCUGAACCUUGCCCAUAGCAUGUACUAUUUUUGCUAUUCUCAUCUCUAUUAAUCACCAUUGCCCCUGACUUGUUGAGCUCCUCAUGUGAAGAAAUAUUUUUAACUACAACAAGAUCACUCUCAGCCCCUUUCUUUUCUGGUAAUAUCUCAGCUUUGUUUUUCUUUGCAUCAAUUGUAGCGUGUGCAUGGUCUCGCCUCUUGCGAUCUACCAAAUAUUUUUCGGAAGUGUAGGAUUCAAAAGAAACCCACUGCCCCUUAUGAAGAAACUGAAUUUUCCUCCAAGAAAAACUGCAAGAUUUGUCGCUGCGUAGCUCCCUCUUUUUUGUCCAUGGUUGACCCAAAAUCAUAGAACAUACGUACAUAUUGGUGAGGAAACACAUCACGAACAACCAAGUCGGUAAAUCCACAUAAUUUGAAGCGCACCUCCACUUGAUAUUUGAUAGUUAGGAAUUGGCCCUGCCACGAGAGCUUAUAUGGACCCCCAAAAACAAAAAGAGAGCUUAUAUGGGUCAGGAUGUUCUAUCACUGAUAACUUCAACGCAUCCACCAUGGUUUGACUCGCCAAAUUUAUUUUUGAAGAACGAUCCAUCAUUGUAGCACAAGUAAUUCUUCCCACUUGCACCCUUGUGUAGAUCUGAAACCAAGAAAGUGCAGUUGCCGGAUCCUUCUCACUUCGUGACAUCUCACCUUCGAAGUAAUACUCCGUUCUCAUUGCAAUUUUAGAAUCUGUACCAACAAAUUAUUGGGGAAAUUUGCACCGUAAUAAACCCAGUAUUCUGAUACCAGUUGAUGAGAUUUUUAGACAGCUUCCCCUCAAAACUCGAUACGGGUAUUUUACCCUAAAAACACAUUGUCUUUAUUCAUAAAAUAUAUCCUCUGUUUGCACCCCUUUGUUAACGACUGCCGCAGAUGCCUGCAACCCCUUGUCAAUGAUUGGUGUAUUCAUCAUGACCUGUGUACUAUGCAUGUUUGCGCUAGGGUAUGCCGCAUCAACGCAGGAUAUGCUUCACGGCCGCCGAGUGAUCUGUUGCAGGUUUGUCCAUGUAUCCGCUAACCUCUGAAGUUUCCGACAGCAAACAUACUGGGUCAGAUUGCUCAAUAUUCAGAAUAUAGAGCCUCUUGGGUGAUCUCCUGACUUCUGCAAGGACCUUGCACUCCUUACCCAACAUAAUCAUCAGCCCUUGAUCAAACAGCGUACUCGCAACCAAACUCAUCCAACUGCCCGAGACUGUUUAUAUUGCUUUUCAGCUAAAGUUCAGUUAACAGUUGGUGUUCACCAUUGUGUGCAAGAAAGAGAGCUGGACCACAUCCCUCGAUGCCCACAACUAAUCCAUCUCGAAUCAAACUGAACUUUUAAUCUUUCGGUCCAGCUUGACGUACUUCUCCACACAGCUUGUCAUGUGGUUGCUUGCUCCAGUAUCAAGAUACCAGGACUUGUUUCGUGACCCUGUCAUUUUGGGUGUGACUUUUUCUUUGUGCGGUAUCACCUGGUCACCUGUGACUUCAGUGUUCUCAACCAGCUCACACACCUCAGUCAUGAGCAGCGCAACAUCUUCAUCAGUUUGGGUGUUGACUUUUUCUUUGUGCAGCAUCACCUUGUCACCUGUGACUCACACACCUCGGUCAUGAGCAGCGCAACAUCUUCAUCGGUUUGCUUCUGUGUCAGGUUUGCACGCUCCUGCUUUGGCUCUGCACAGUCGGAGGCAAAAUGUCCAUGCUCAUCUCAGACCUUCGAAAUAUUGAACUUCCUAUGUUUCUUUUGCUUUCCUUUUCCGCUGUUCUCAUGUGGUUGCUUGUUCCAGUAUCAAGAUACAAGGACUUGUUUGGUGACCCUGUUAGUUUGGGUGUGACUUUUUCUUCGUGCUGCAUCACCUUGUCACCCGUGACUUAAGUAUUCUCAGCUACCUCACAUACCUUGGUCAUGAGCGGCGCUGCAUCUGCAUCUUAAUCGGUUUGCUUCUGUGUCAGGUUGCUCACUACCGUUUCUGCUUGGAUAGUUAGAGGUGAAAUGUCCAUGCUCAUCAUAGUUAAAACACUUCACCUUUGAAAUGACGAACUUCCUAUGUUUCUUCCAUUGUUCUUAAGGCCGUAAGCCGAGGCAAGGAGCCCAAGCCCCACCUUACCUUUGAAGUGUGUAAGUCGAGGCGGUAAGGCGAGGCAAGGUUACUCCUUAGACAUAGAAGGAACAGGGCAAUCAAGUAGUUUAGCAGCAGUUUAGCACGUACUAUGCACUUCCCUGUAUUGCAAGGAAUGCCACGACCUAUGCACUUCCUUGCGGCCCAAAAGCCCAUCUAGUAGCUAUAUACUCCCGUGACCUAAUUCCACUAUCCUCACUCCCCCUCCCAUUUCUAGAUAAUAUCUAGAAUGUUGAAUCUUAACUAAUGUUUUCUAGAGUGUUUUAGCUAUCAGUAGAAGUUGAUAUGUGAAGGCUUCCCAAAGCCCUAUAAAUAAAGGUUCUCACCUCUAGUUUGUAACCAGACUGUGUACCCCACUAUCUAGAACUUGGUGUUCUUAUCUAAGAUCUUGGAUUAGAUCUUGUGCUCUAGGAGUUUUGAUUGAACUGCUGCUGCCACAUUGGCCUGUUUCCGCCUAGCUAUAUCUAGCACAUCACGUUUUCCUUCAACACAUGCGAUGUACACUUUGUAGCAGCAAGGUGGAGUUUCUCCUCCACAACCUUGUUUUGUUUCAGGUGGUACCAGACCCCUGUUGAUCCGUAGUAGUUCUUGGUGUCCUCUUUGAGAGAGCUGUAGCAAGUGAUAGAGCAAUUGGAGGAGAGUAUGGAUGCUGCAGAACAACAAAUUGAAACGCUGUGUAAAGAUCGUAAUUCAAGAUUCGAUCAACUAGUUGAGAUGAAAAGAAAGAGUGCCCCCCUGUUGCCAAUGAUGAAAAUUCAUAGAUGGUGGACGAAGAUGUUCAACAGGAAAUAAAGGGAGGUAGUCUUCAAGCAAGACUACCACAACAACGUGCAUUGUUUUUAAGGCGUCCGGCGCCUUGCAAGCCCAAGGCGUCCACCUUUCCUUAGGUACCUACGUAAGGUGUCCGCCUUAAGCUUUAAGGCGUCUGAAGCGUCAGCAUAGACGUCCAGGUUGGCGCCCUAGUCUAUAUUGGACGCCUUGAGCUUGCCAGGCAGGCAUGGGAGCAGUUUUAGGCGGGAAACAGAGUCUUGGCAGGAAACAUAGAUGCUAUUGGCGCCAACAGGUAAGAGAGGGGAGAUAGAGAGAGAAACAACCCCCAAUCCACACGCACCUCCUCCUCUCCAGUGGCUCUCACUCACAUCCCUCGAAUCUCUUUUAGUGGCUAGUAGAACUAAGUUUUUCUUGUCGCUCUUCGUGGAGUCACUCAAUUUUGGCUUGUGGCGCUCACUCUCUUUUUGGUGGUUCACUCUCUCACUAGUCUCUCCACGAAGCCUCGAUGCUUGCUUGUCGGCGAUCACUUGACUUGGCGACAUGUGUCGAAUCACGUACUCCUUGCCCUUCAUCUUGAAGCUAUAGUGAUUGGUUCGCCCGUUGUGGAUGACACCGUGUUCGAAUUGCUAAGGUCGUCCUAGGAGAUGACACACAGACAUAGGAACCACAUCACACUCCAAGGUGUCUUCGUAUGCGCCGAUCUUGAAGGAUACUUGAACGGUGUGCUCCACUUGAAUGGUACAAGAGUCACUUAGCCAUUGGACCUUGUAGGGGCGAGGGUGCUUCUUGACCAAUUGUAGCUUGGAGCAUAAUUCUUCACUUGCCAAAUUGUGGCAAUUUGCGCCGUCGAUGAUCACCUUGACGGAACGUCCUUGGAUGCCCGCAUUGGUGUGGAAGAUAGGGCAACAUUUGUCUUCAUCUUAUUGUUGUUGAAGUGUCAAGAUCUUGGAGCAACAAGAGCGGGGCUCGGAUCGUUGUCGCAAAAGAUUUGCGCAUCUUCAUCUUCAUUCACUUGGCGAUGCAUGGCCACGUGCUCUAGUGCUUCCAUGUCCUCUUCGCUCAUGGAGUCAUAGGUGCCGUCAUCAUUGGCAAUCAUUGUGCACCGUGUGGGGCACUCGAAUAUCUUGUGGCCACGGCCCUUGCAAGUGAAACAUUGAAUUGAACUUGCCUUGGCGGUAGCAUCCGUUGGAGUAGUUGACGAGGAAGCUCUUGGCUUGUAGGUUCUUGAAAGAGGACGACUCAAAGAUGUCGUAGCUUGCUUAGAACUUGAUUUGUCACUGGUGUGGGGUGAAGCUCGAGUAGUAGUUGUAGGCGUCGUAGUUGUGGAAGCUUGGGAAUAGGAGCCGUAGGUCUUGGAAGAGUACUUGUACUUGAAGUCAUCUUGCACUUAUCGCUCCGCCUUGGUCGCUCGGUACACUAGUUCAAGGAGAUUGGAGUAAGGUUGGAAAUAGGCAAUCUUCUUGAUUGGGUGGUUGAGGCCAUUCAAGAAGCGUGCCAUAGUUUGCUCGUCAUCUUCCUUGACGUUGGCUCGUAUCAUGGCAAUCUCCCAUCUCUUGGUAGUAUUCUUCCACCGACUUUGUGCCUUGCUUGAGGAGUUGCAACGAGCUCUCAUGAUAUCCUUCAUUUGGUUCCAAGUCGUGAUGGGUGGAUCGCCUUUCUCCCUUUGUCGCUCAAUCGCUUGCUCCCACCAAAUGAGGACAUAGUCUUGAAACUCAAGGGAGGCCAUGGUGAUUUUCUUCUCCUCUUCAUAAUUGUGUAGCCGGAAUAUCUUGUCGACCUUCAUUGCCCAUGAGAGGUAUUUUUCAGGAUCGGUGCUUCCGGAGAACUUUGGCAUGGUGAAUUUGAGCUUGUCGUAGCGUUGUUCUUCAUCAUAGUGGCGAUGAUGAUGUCGCUCAUGUCUUGGAGGUGGGUCUUCAACCUCUUGUUCCUUAUGAUUGGCUUGACGUUGAGGGUGAGGGAUUCUUGCUUGGUUCCUCCUUUCUUGGCGCUCCGCAAGACGAGCGGCUAAAUCUUGUUGCUCUUGACAGAGCUCUUCUUGUUCACAUACUCGGUUGCGCUCAUUGACGGCGCGAGUGGCUUCUCGGAGAGCACGUUGUGCUUCAAGCGCUUGUUCCUCACGGUGUUGUUCUUGCCGUAGUGCGUCGCCGUCUUGGUCGCCUUGGCGUCGGCGUUGUCGAGCUUGCCCUUGGUCCAUGGCAUCUUGUUCUUGGUGACGAUGUCGUCCACGCUCUCGAAGACGGUCUUGCAACCCCUUGCCAUGGAAUGGAUUUUAUGAAGCUUGAUGCUCGUCCCGAUGAUGAGAACGAUGUUUUGUUUUGACCUUGAUGAGAACGAUGUUGUGGAGGACUUGCAUCGGAAGAGGUGUCCGAAGAGUGGUGACUCGAGUGGCGCCGUCUUGAUGAAGAAGAUGUGGAAGAAGUGCGGUUGGCCAUUAAGGCACGAAAUUCUUCCAUUUGAGUGGAUAGCUUGGCGUCAAGGUAGUCCCGGAUCCUUGCUUUUGAGUGGCGUAAGUCGGUGGCGAGUUGCUCGAUGCGUUCGCCCAAAGCUUCACUUUCUUGAUGUAGUGCUCGUUGAACGCCGAAGAGAUGACCUUUGGUGACGUAGUCAUUCGUGUCAUCUUGCUCCUCGAAUAGUGGGUUCGAUGUACUUGGCCUAUCCAUCAUGGUCAAGUAGAGGUGAGUAGGAAAUGAGGGAACAAUAUAUUGAGGGUGUAUUGAGUAUAACUCAAUGUAGUGCUAUAAUAGUAGAAUUGGUAUCGGGUUUGUUUCUCACACCUACAAAAGUAAAGGCUUGUUGAGGAGUUUGGUUAGGAUGAGUGGCACAAAAUUCAAGCAAGUGUUAGUCAAGAUAUUGAUAAUGUUGAAGAGAUUCACAAAUUGCAAGUAAAACAAAUAGAUUAAAACCGAGGAUGACACUUGGAACACACACACGAAAGAUAAGUGCGAUCCGCGCAAUCAAGGAAUGAGCACAAAAUGCGAUAUCACCAAAAAUGCUCGUGUUGCACGGAUACUAGAGAUGAUAACUCGACCGCUCAAUGGGCUAGAUAUGCUGUGCACCAAACUAUUAGAGUAACAUGCCGUCUUCAAUCCCAAAUAUGCUAUGUGUAUAUGAUCCAAUAUGAUGUAAUUAUGCAAAAUGGCUCAAUGCUGCUGCUUACAAGCUCUUUGUUUCUCUUCUUUUGCUUAAAAGCCUUUUCCAUUUUUUUGUAUAUACUAUGCCAAAAUGCUUGAUGCUCGAGCCAAUAUAUGAGACAAGUAUGUAAGAUAUGCACGGGAGACACUUACGACACAAUGAUGGUAGCAAGAUGAUUGCACGCUAAAAGUAGCUAUGCGGCGUAAGCGUAUCACUAAGGUGCGAUAUGCACAGGAGACACUUACGACACAAUGAUGGUAGCAAGAUGAUUGCAUGCUAAAAGUAGCUAUGCGGCGUAAGCAUAUCACUAAGGUGCACAAAAGAGCGUGGCCAGGCAAUUCUCAACUCGCUAGUCUCGACAGGAAAGGAACACAAAAUGGCUCGGGGCUAUCAAUGCAACAGCAAGGAAUGUACAAAGAUGUCGUCGAGGUUACCGUCCUUGCUUACGGUUGGUAUGAAGGUGAAGAGGUUGUUGUCAUGUCGAGUCCGUGGCGAUGAUGAAUGGCGGUGAUGUUGAUGUUGAACCGUCCCUAAUUAGCCAAAACACCUUAGGAAACGAAAAUUGCAUGGGCACGAGGUUGAGGAUAAGUGAGGCCCGUGUGCACGGGGUCCCAUGGGCACGGGGUUGUCAGGGGCCUGUGCGCACGGGAUGUUCCGCUAGCACAAGAACACACCCAAAUCCGUGGUAAAAGAAAAAUUUCGGAGAAAAUUCGAUGGUGGAAGAGGUUGAGGAUGGAGGGGAGGGUCUGAUCCACUUGCCAAACCACAAAUUCGUGGACCAAAUCAACAAAAUCUCACAAGAUCUAACAAAUUGCAAAUUUUUUGGUAGGGCUAUGUUUGUGGGGAUUUAAGAAUUGGGACAAAAAUCAACAAAAUUAGGCUAGAAAAGUGGGGGUAGGUACUAAGAUGUGAAUCAACCUUGCUCUGAUCCAAGAUGAUGUAGGGUGGAACCCUAGUUUAUGAUCUUUUCACAUUUGGAGGGGAAAAAGGGGAAGAAUCAAGAGGAACACAAGAGAAAUCACUCGAACAAAACCCAAAUCACACAUCCACUAGAAUAGCAUACAUGAGAUCCACAAGUAUAACAUGAACAAUCAAGGGAAAAUAGCACAAAGGUAAGGUUCUUCUCAAAUCCAAAGGAGAUGAGGUCUUGAUGAUAGUCUUCUCCAAGAGGAGGUCUUGAUAUCCAUUUGGGGAUCUUCUCCUAAGAGGUCUUUGUUAGAGUUAUAAGUCAUGUACCCCUUUGUAUUUAUCCCGUUGUAUAAGGGGUUUCCUGCAUAUGUUCCACACCUGUACAUGUAUAUAUAUCGGCCUAUGGCCUCAUGGGAAUACUAGUUGCAUAUUUUCCUAACAUGGUAUUAGAGCUAGGUCAAUUUUUUGCACGCUGCAACUCGUGCUAAUUGAUCCGCCCCGCGACGCCAUUGUCCUCUGUGGCCGCCGCUCUGUUUCCCCGUCGCCGCUGCCUCUCUUCCCGAUCGAGCGCUGUGUCCCCGUCGCCGCUGCCUCUGCUCCCGAUCGACUGGGCCGCUUCUUCCCGAUCGAGCGCUGCGGCCGCCGUGUGGAUCGCCAGCUCCUCUCCUCCCGAUCGACUGGGCCGUGUGCCGCUGCCUCUCCUCCCGAUUGGCCGCCGCCAGGCUCCUCUGGCCGAUCGACUGGGCCGUGUGGAUCGCCCUCCCGCCGUGUGGAUCGCUAGGCUCCUCUCCUCCCGAUCGGCUGGGCUGCUGUCCCUCUCCUCCCGAUCGGCCCCUGCUGCCAGGCUGUCCAGGCCAACUUGGAGUUUCAUCGCGUCUACGAGUUCCUGUCUCGGCUCCGUAAGGAGUUUGAGCCCCGGCGUGCUCAGUUGUUUGCUCGUGGCCGUAUUUCUCUCAUGGAGGCGCUUUCAGAGAUUCGUGCUGAGGAGACUCGCUUACGUGGUGCUGGUUUGCUGGAGGUUCCCUCUGUGCUCGCUACUCGGGCUUCUUCCACUCCACCUGCUGCACCGCCACAUUCUCGCUCGAGUGCUCCGCCGCUCUUGCCCACUCCUUCUGGAGGCUCAGGUCGCCCCCGUCCACAUUGUGACUACUGCAACAAUGAUGGUCAUAUUGAGUCCCAGUGCUACACAAAGCGGAAACACCUGCGCAAGGCGCGAUCAUCCUCCUCGGGGACUUCGUCAUCUCCCUCGACAGCUUCAGCCAUUGCUUUGACUGAGCAGGAUAUUCUGAGACUUAAGCGUCUGCUCGCGGCUUCAGGUUCUUCCUCGACGGGUACUGCUGGUUCUGUGACUGAUGCUUCCCGCACUGAGCACCCGCCCUCUACACAGUCAGGAUCGUCGCACGCACACUCUGGUUGGGGCUGGCCCUCGCCGCCGUGAUUCUCAGGGUCUUUGGGAAUUGGACUGGCUUCAUGUUCCUUCUGCUGCCACCACCAUCGCCAGUCCCUCCGCUGCUGUCGCCUCUGUUACUGGUUCUUUCAAGCAGUGGCAUCAUCGACUUGGUCAUCUGUGUGGUUCUCGGUUAUCGUCUUUAGUUCGUCGAGGUCUUCCGGGGUUUGUCUCAGGAGAUGUCUCUUUAGAGUGUCAGGGUUGUCGUCUUGGCAAGCAGAUUCAGUUACCAUAUUCACAUAGUGAGUCAGUGUCUACGCGUCCUUUUGAUUUAGUCCAUUCUGAUGUAUGGGGUCUGGCUCCUUUCGCUUCGAAAGGUGGUCAUAAAUACUAUAUUAUUUUCAUCGAUGAU